Thalassophryne amazonica is the source of this 971-nucleotide long non-coding RNA. RefSeq lists it as uncharacterized. The transcript has 2 exons. The record is from RefSeq and is a predicted model, not a curated record. Lineage: Eukaryota; Metazoa; Chordata; Actinopteri; Batrachoidiformes; Batrachoididae.
UGUGAAAUUGAGCACUACAUCCUUUAAGGGGGUUUCAAGUGGUGUUUGUGAUUUAUGUUGAAUUUCUGGGUUUUUAUUUGCUUGAAUGAAAAUAGAACAAGAUGACCAUCCCAUGGACAACCAGCUUUUUGUAAUCCAUCCUCAGAUGACACUGGACUGCUUUACUUGACAUAACCUUGUUUUAAUGCAGAGCCUGAGGGGAAAAGGAACCCAAAAAUUAGUCUUGGAGUUGUUUUUCUGACCCUUUAAUUCUUCACUGCGAAUGGACGUGUUGAACUUUGCUUCAUGGAAUUACAAAUGCCACAGAGUAAUGCCACUUUUGCAACCUCGCCUUUGCGCUCGGUUUUUGUAUAUUGCAUUCAAUAAGUGAUGCAACCCGACAAUCAAGCCUGAACUGCUCAAGUAAUACGGCAGAAUGUCUCAAAUCACAUGGCUGAAGUUCAGCCUUGUUAAGCUCAUUUCUUUGCCGAAUGGUCAAUGCACAUGACCUCGUUUCUGAUGAAGCACAAUGUGCUUGUAGUCGCGUGUAUUACGGUUGAAGUGUUAAUGCGCUAACGUGGUGGUCCUUCCGGUCACAGUGUGAGCUCACCGCUUCACCCCCGCUUUUCUUAAAAAAUACAGAUUCUGUAUUAGUUCACUGAAUUUAUAGACGAUGUGUCUAAAACAUGACUGAUACAAUCACCCUGUCGGUGGUUCUUACCUGUCAAAUGUGCCUCAUUUAUGUACGUGUAUAAAAUGAACAGACUGUCCUCUGUCUUGUUUCUCUUGUACCGUUUUGCUGCCUCACAUUUAGGUUGCAUUUUGUUUUACACCACUUCUGCCCAGUUAUGUUUUUCUGAGUAAGUCCCAGGACUUGAAAUUAACUUAAAUCUGUGCAUUUUUGUAUUUUCCAGUGUGCAUGCUCUUAAUCGCAAGGCUGUGUACAAUCCGUCCUUGUUUUUUGUGUCAUUAAUAAAAGAUGUUAUUAGGAA